This 406-nucleotide ribosomal RNA is filed under the name uncultured bacterium. RNAcentral's name for it is "partial 16S ribosomal RNA". It matches the Rfam family "Bacterial small subunit ribosomal RNA", at positions 29 to 526 of the family's 1533-position model. The record is from RNAcentral.
AUUGAACGCUGGCGGCAGGCCUAACACAUGCAAGUCGAACGAGUGGCGGACGGGUGAGUAAUGUCUGGGAAACUGCCUGAUGGAGGGGGAUAACUACUGGAAACAGUAGCUAAUACCGCCGACCCACAGAUGUGCACAGAUGGGAUUGGCUAGUUGGUGGGGUAACGGCUCACCAAGGCGACUAUCCCUAGCUGGGCUGAGUGGAUGACCAGCCACACUGGAACGGAGCAACGGGCCAGACUCCGUCGGGAGGCAGCUGUGGGGAAUAUUGCACAAGGGGCGCAAGCCUGAUGCAGCCAGGCCGCGUGUAUGAAGAAGGCCUUCGGGUUGUAAAGUACUUUCAGCGGGGAGGCGUUACCCGCAGAAGAAGCACCGGCUAACUCCGUGCCAGCAGCCGCGGUAAUAC